CGUAAGGGGCGAGCGUUGUUCGGAAUUAUUGGGCGUAAAGGGCGUGCAGGCGGUUUUGCAAGUCUGAUGUGAAAACUCUGGGCUUAACUCAGAAUCCGCGUUGGAAACUGCAAGACUAGAAUCUUGGAGGGGGAGUUGGAAUUCCUAGUGUAGGGGUGAAAUCUGUUGAUAUUAGGAAGAACACCGGUGGCGAAGGCGAACUCCUGGCCGAAGAUUGGCGCUGAGGCGCGAAAGCGUAGGUAGCAAACAGGAUUAGAUACCCUGGUAGUCUACGCUGUAAACGAUGUACACUUGGUGUUGGGCCGAUUAGGUUCAGUGCCGUAGCUAACGCGAUAAGUGUACCGCCUGGGGAGUAUGCCGCAAGGGUG
Molecule: ribosomal RNA, 368 nt
Filed under: uncultured organism
Description: bacterial SSU rRNA
Rfam family: Bacterial small subunit ribosomal RNA
Source: RNAcentral